GACGAACGCUGGCGGCGUGCUUAACACAUGCAAGUCGAACGAAGAGCGACGGAAGCUUGCUUCUAUCAAUCUUAGUGGCGCACGGGUGAGUAACGCGUAAUCAACCUGCCCUUCAGAGGGGGACAACAGUUGGAAACGACUGCUAAUACCGCAUACGAUCUAACCUCGGCAUCGAGGAUAGAUGAAAGGUGGCCUCUACAUGUAAGCUAUCACUGAAGGAGGGGAUUGCGUCUGAUUAGCUAGUUGGAGGGGUAACGGCCCACCAAGGCGAUGAUCAGUAGCCGGUCUGAGAGGAUGAACGGCCACAUUGGGACUGAGACACGGCCCAGACUCCUACGGGAGGCAGCAGUGGGGAAUCUUCCGCAAUGGACGAAAGUCUGACGGAGCAACGCCGCGUGAGUGAUGACGGCCUUCGGGUUGUAAAGCUCUGUUAAUCGGGGCGAAAGGCCUUCUUGCGAAUAGUGAGAAGGAUUGACGGUACCGGAAUAGAAAGCCACGGCUAACUACGUG
RNAcentral lists this ribosomal RNA (510 nucleotides) under uncultured bacterium. RNAcentral describes it as "partial 16S ribosomal RNA". It matches the Rfam family "Bacterial small subunit ribosomal RNA", at positions 28 to 507 of the family's 1533-position model. The record is from RNAcentral.